GUGUCAGCAGCCGCGGUAAUACGUAGGGGGCAAGCGUUACUCGGAAUUACUGGGCGUAAAGGGUGUGUAGGUGGCUGGAUAAGUCAAAGAUGAAAUCCCGAGGCUCAACUUCGGAAUUGUCUUUGAUACUGUUCAGCUUGAGGAUAGUUGAGGAGAGCGGAAUUCCCGGUGGAGCGGUGAAAUGCGUAGAUAUCGGGAGGAACACCUGAGGCGUAGGCGGUUCUCUAUACUAUUCCUGACACUGAGACACGAAAGCUAGGGGAGCAAACGGGAUUAGAUACCCCGGUAGUCCUAGCCGUAAACGAUGGACGCUAGAUGUUCCUGCGUUUAUGCGGGAGUGUCGUAGCUAACGCGUUAAGCGUCCCGCCUGGGGAGUACGGUCGCAAGAUUGAAACUCAAAUGAAUUGACGGGG
Molecule: ribosomal RNA, 413 nt
Filed under: uncultured prokaryote
Description: bacterial SSU rRNA
Rfam family: Bacterial small subunit ribosomal RNA
Source: RNAcentral